CUACGGGGGGCAGCAGUGGGGGAUAUUGCGCAAUGGGGGAAACCCUGACGCAGCAAUGCCGCGUGAAGGAAGAAGGUCUUCGGAUUGUAAACUUUUGUCUUCAGGGACGAAACAAAUGACGGUACCUGAGGAGGAAGCCACGGCUAACUACGUGCCAGCAGCCGCGGUAAUACGUAGGUGGCAAGCGUUGUCCGGAUUUACUGGGUGUAAAGGGCGUGUAGGCGGGAUUGUAGGUCAGAUGUGAAAUACCCGGGCUUAACCCGGGGGCUGCAUUUGAAACCACAGUUCUUGAGUGCUGGAGAGGGAAGCGGAAUUCCUAGUGUAGCGGUGAAAUGCGUAGAUAUUAGGAGGAACACCAGUGGCGAAGGCGGCUUUCUGGACAGUAACUGACGCUGAGGCGCGAAAGCGUGGGGAGCAAACAGGAUUAGAUUCCCGAGUAGUC
Molecule: ribosomal RNA, 442 nt
Filed under: uncultured bacterium
Lineage: Bacteria
Description: partial 16S ribosomal RNA
Rfam family: Bacterial small subunit ribosomal RNA
Source: RNAcentral